This 481-nucleotide ribosomal RNA is filed under the name uncultured bacterium. RNAcentral's name for it is "partial 16S ribosomal RNA". It matches the Rfam family "Bacterial small subunit ribosomal RNA", at positions 28 to 507 of the family's 1533-position model. The record is from RNAcentral.
GAUGAACGCUGACGGCGUGCCUAACACAUGCAAGUCGAACGGAGAUUACGGACGGAAGUUUUCGGAUGGAAGCCUGUAAUUCUUAGUGGCGGACGGGUGAGUAACGCGUGGGCAACCUGCCCUAUACAGGGGGAUAGCAGCUGGAAACGGCUGGUAAGACCGCAUAAGUCGGUUAAAUCGCAUGAUUUGAUCGGGAAAUGAGCAAUCAGGUAUAGGAUGGGCCCGCGUCCGAUUAGCCAGUUGGCAGGGUAAAAGCCUACCAAAGCGACGAUCGGUAGCCGGACUGAGAGGUCGGACGGCCACAUUGGGACUGAGACACGGCCCAAACUCCUACGGGAGGCAGCAGUGGGGGAUAUUGCACAAUGGAGGAAACUCUGAUGCAGCGACGCCGCGUGAGUGAAGAAGUAUUUCGGUAUGUAAAGCUCUAUCAGCAGGGAAGAUGAUGACGGUACCUGACUAAGAAGCCCCGGCUAACUACGUG